Molecule: ribosomal RNA, 228 nt
Filed under: Vibrio parahaemolyticus
Lineage: Bacteria; Pseudomonadati; Pseudomonadota; Gammaproteobacteria; Vibrionales; Vibrionaceae
Description: partial 16S ribosomal RNA
Rfam family: Bacterial small subunit ribosomal RNA
Source: RNAcentral
UUAAUUCGAUGCAACGCGAAGAACCUUACCUACUCUUGACAUCCAGAGAACUUUCCAGAGAUGGAUUGGUGCCUUCGGGAACUCUGAGACAGGUGCUGCAUGGCUGUCGUCAGCUCGUGUUGUGAAAUGUUGGGUUAAGUCCCGCAACGAGCGCAACCCUUAUCCUUGUUUGCCAGCGAGUAAUGUCGGGAACUCCAGGGAGACUGCCGGUGAUAAACCGGAGGAAGG